RNAcentral lists this long non-coding RNA (1453 nucleotides) under Strigops habroptila (Kakapo). RNAcentral's name for it is "lncRNA (ENSSHBG00005011284.1)". The record is from RNAcentral. Lineage: Eukaryota; Metazoa; Chordata; Aves; Psittaciformes; Psittacidae.
UAGCACAAAGUUUUAUUUCACCCUGCCCCAUGCUUUUUACAGUUUUAUACACAUUUUACAACUAGAAACCCAGGGGUCCAAUUUAACCGUGCGACAAACCCAUUUUGUUUCAUACUCGGGAUCAUUAUAGCCCUUAGUAAAACAUAUGUACAUGAAUUGCAACAAACUUAUAGCAGGACAAAGAAAAUGAAGAGCUAACCCUCUCUCUCUCACGUAUGGACAUGUAGGAUUUUGAACAUCGUCUCCUGCAUCCAUCAAGGAUGGAGCAGUGCCCUGAGAAGCGAGUACCAGCGCAGUCUACACCUCAUCCAAAUGCACCGACACCAACGGAGGCCUGCCAUUACCUCCCACAGACUGAGAAAUAAGCCCUCUCUGCAAAGUAUAUACUGAGUAAUCCUUUAAAUAGCAUUUCUUCACACUUGCAUAUGCAGUGAAAAUGAGGUAUAAGUUAGUUGCUUUCAGAAGGAAUAUUCUAAACCAAUAAAUUUAAACAGAAGCAGACAUUAGUAUUCCAACUCCUUUCAUUUUGCAUGUUACUUUUUGCAUUCUCAGUAGUAGCAAUGACCUUAAGGUGGCCAAACAGACAUUAAUCUUGAUGUUUCUUCAAAACAAGCAUACAAAAUUUAUACCAAGGAUGACUCAACCAGAGUAUUUUACAAGUCUAUGUUACCACUUUGUUCUCUAAGGCUUUGAUGAUUAAGACACCGUAGGCUAUCUGAUUCUCACGUGUAAGUAAAGGUUGCAUUGAAUGAGAGUAAGAAUCAAAAAAAUAGUCAAUACAGCUAUUUACAUCUACUUCUGUAAAAUUUAAAAAUCUAGUACUCUGACAAACGCUUUUGUAUCUAAACCAGUUAAUGCUGACUGCAUGUUAAAGUCUCCCAUUUACCUAAGCUCUUCUGGAAAACCCAAGAUAGUGACAACUGCACCGGUGUCAGCCCUAAAGGAGUAUCUACUCACACCUUACACAGGAAAUGUUACCUUCAAAAGCACUGGCAGCAAUAGAUCAAAUUCCUUUGAACUUUUAAGUGCUCUAUUUGUCUAUCAAGACUGUAAUAAAAUGGUCAAACUCAGCAAUUUAUUGAUUCACUGCAGUAAUAAAAGUUGAAUAGGAUUUCUAAUCUUUGAGCAUCAUAUAAAGUUGGUUUUGUUUUUUAAGAAAAGUCUGAACAUCUCAUAUUUGCACAUCAUAAUUCUAACACCCAGCAAAUCAGUAAGUUCCAACAAGUGAUUUUAUAUGGAGUGGGGUUUGGGUUUUUUUUGGGGGGAGUGGGAGUUGAAACUUAAAGCAACCAACUGUGCUUCAAAUAGGCAAAGUCUUAAAUUCUGAGUUUUUAGAAGAAAAACGGUUCCACUGUGGUUUCCAGAACUGAAACAAAGGCAAUAAAAGGGCAGCUCUUUCCUACCUCCCCAUGAAAAGAAGAGAAAAACAGUUUCUAUGACACAUGGGGAAUUU